Molecule: transfer RNA, 73 nt
Filed under: Paramuricea clavata
Lineage: Eukaryota; Metazoa; Cnidaria; Anthozoa; Malacalcyonacea; Plexauridae
Rfam family: tRNA
About the family: Transfer RNA (tRNA) molecules are approximately 80 nucleotides in length.
Source: Rfam by way of RNAcentral
GACCUCGUAGGUCAGUUGGUAGAGCAUUGGACUAGUAUCCCAAAGGUUGUGAGUUUGAUUCCCACCGUGGUCA